This is a long non-coding RNA of Strigops habroptila (Kakapo), 1725 nucleotides long. RefSeq lists it as uncharacterized. NCBI's taxonomy places the organism in Eukaryota, Metazoa, Chordata, Aves, Psittaciformes, Psittacidae. The record is from RefSeq and is a predicted model, not a curated record. The transcript is spliced from 2 exons.
GCAAAGGCCAGGAUCCAGGACGGAACCCGGUGCCGCCCAGCGCAGCGGCUGCCAGAGCACGCUGGCUCCGCGCAGUUGCUGCCGGGCGCUGCUGCGCUGGGCCAGGUCUCGGCACAGAACAGCGCUGGGGAGGGGGCCAGGCAGAGGAGGAGGGGCACGGCGGGGAGGAGCGGGCGGGCAGGGAGAAAGCAGCGGGAUGAGCCCGGGGGAGGGAGGGGAGGAAGGAGCGAGGCAGCUCCUGGGAAGAGGGAGGAGGAGAAGAGAGACUCUUGUAGGGGAGCGGGAUCGGGGUGAGGAGAGAAGGAAAAGCCGCUCCCGGAGAAGGGCCUGGAGAGGAGCGGCGCUGCUCGCAGGCAUCCGACUUGUAGAAGGCAUCGGUCGAGGGCCAAGGGCUGCGCCCGGGGCCAGCGGACAAAGCGGCGGUGGGCGCAGAGCGAGAGGGACCUGGCGCUGGCCCAUCGAGGCGGUGUCACUUACACCGGGAAAAUGGUCUUUGUCCAAGUUUCCUGAUGCCGGGAGAGCGGCCGGCAUGGCUCUAGCGGGAAGGGCUCCUGCUAAAACUACAUGAGCGAUGCUGGGAAGUGGAGGGGGUGUUGCUGGAGCCCUGCAGAAGGAGCUCGAAUCACCCAAACCUCAAGCCUUGUGCUGAAAGAAGAUGACAAAGCUACUCUAACAUGCAGUCAAAAUGAUAACCACCCUUCUAUGUACUGGUAUCUGCAGCAGCCAGGGAAGGGGCUGCAAUUGAUCUAUUAUUCUAUAGGUGUAAAUCAGCAAUUUGAGGGUGACUUUCACAUUGGAUACAAAGCUCAACGGCCAAACCUCUCAGACUUCUCUUUGGAUAUUUUCUCUGUGAAGAUGAACUAUUCCGCUGUCUAUUUCUGUGCCAGCAGUUUGAACACAGCCCUUCAAAGUCACUUCCUUUCUUUACAUAAACUUCUCUCCUUCUCAGUGCUUUCUCUCAGAAGGGAGCCGCUCUCAGCACAGGAAGAGGGUAUGUAGGCCAAUAGCCUGUUCACAAACCAGAUGUUGCCAGGGAGCUGGAACAAGAGAGGUGGAACAGGUCUUUGAAGUGCAGGUUAAUUGCUGAACUCGGCUUUCCUCAUCACUGUGUGUUCUCUAUCUCAUCAGAGCAAUCAAUAAAGAUUGUUAACCAAAAGCAGACAUAAAAUAAAGGAAAUAGAACCUGCAAAGAUACAAGAAUAGAAGCUAAGCAGGAGUAACAUGCCACAGAUGAGAUUAAAAUGACAGAAGGGGAGCCAUUACCGUGGUCUGCAAGUGCAUAGACACAGUCCUGAGAAGUUACACACGUGUGGAGGCUGUAGAGAGGAAAGAGAGAAUGUACAAAAUAGUAUGCAACUUAGAAUGAAUUCACAUUCAGGAAAAAUAACAUGUAGAUUGCUAUUUAUUCAGACAUUGCUCUGAUCACAAGUUCUAUGGGCCCAUGUGAUCAUGGUGCCAUCAAAAGGAGGGAGUGAAGGUCCUGAGUGGCAGCAACUGGCGUGGAUGCCACAGGUCCAAGGGGCCAGCAACUGGAAACAUGAGCAGCGUGCCCUAGAGAAGAAGAAUUCAAAACAUUAACUCAUAUUUGGCAAGUGAAGGGAAAGACCUUGGCCACAUUUUAACAACCAGACUGCAUGGCCAGCACACAACAUCCUUGUGGACACCUUUAGUGCUCUUCUGGAGGUGCGUGUGUCAUUAUCAUGAAAUAAACAUCUUGUAAUUUUA